GUUGAAGAUCCCAACAUGUAAAAUUUCCCCUCAUCUCUCGUCAUCUUCUCUAAGCAAUUCUAACUUUCAUUGUUAGCAUUUUCUAAUUGUGCAUAUUAGCUGCUCUUUCAAAUAAUUUGUCGUUAGUAAAGGUAAUUUUUUUCUGUAAAUUACCCAUCACUCUGCUUGGAGAGCUCGAUUAGAGAGACUUCAUGGAUUUUAGUUCAUUUCACGUUGUGGCGUUGAAAAAUACUUGCUUUUUUAAUGAUGAAAUUUUUGCAUAAAUGUUAAUUCGUCACUGAUGUUUA
This 287-nucleotide unclassified non-coding RNA is filed under the name Hevea brasiliensis (rubber tree). The record is from RNAcentral. Lineage: Eukaryota; Viridiplantae; Streptophyta; Magnoliopsida; Malpighiales; Euphorbiaceae.